RNAcentral lists this long non-coding RNA (225 nucleotides) under Panax ginseng (ginseng). RNAcentral describes it as "long non-coding RNA (PGIN_LNC006366)". The record is from RNAcentral. Lineage: Eukaryota; Viridiplantae; Streptophyta; Magnoliopsida; Apiales; Araliaceae.
AUCGACUUCCGUAGGAAGAACCGGAGAAGAGGAAUCACCAGAACUAACCUGAAGACCAAGUGCAUCUGAUUCACCCAUCUCCUCAACUUCAAGUAAAGGAAGGUUAGGGGAAUUAGGAAUUGAGACUCCAUACGUAGCUAAGUUGUCAAGAGAAGCACUGUUAACAGAGUUAUCAGCCGAUAAAUGAUUAUGGCUGAACACUUCGGCCGAAAAAAUUGAUCGACG